RNAcentral lists this small RNA (76 nucleotides) under Pseudochelatococcus contaminans. Its description in RNAcentral is "Makes More Granules Regulator RNA (mmgR)". It matches the Rfam family "Makes More Granules Regulator RNA (mmgR)". From Rfam's summary of the family: SuhB later renamed mmgR (makes more granules regulator) was a putative non-coding RNA found multiple times in the Agrobacterium tumefaciens genome and related alpha-proteobacteria. Other non-coding RNAs uncovered in the same analysis include: speF, ybhL, metA, and serC. Several studies inSinorhizobium meliloti showed that suhB element is indeed a non-coding RNA:firstly it was detected on Northern blot and called Sm8RNA, secondly in an RNAseq study referred to as SmelC689. Lineage: Bacteria; Pseudomonadati; Pseudomonadota; Alphaproteobacteria; Hyphomicrobiales; Chelatococcaceae. The record is from Rfam by way of RNAcentral.
UAUCGCUGCCCUUCUUGGGCGUUUCCUCCCUAGACUUGGGCCGCAUGCUUUGCAUGUGGCCCCUUUUUUUAUCUGU